GAUAAUACUAAUAGACAUGGAGGCAUAGUCAAAUCAGCUGUUUUUCAAAAUUUAACAAAAUUUUAUUUUUCUUGACUAUUUGUUAGCAUUCAUAUUUAAUUUUUGAAUUAAAAUAAAGCUUUAGUUCUUUACCAUCUUUAUCCAAACACGUACCAUCCCUUACCUGAGCCUCACCACCACCACCGUCUCAAACACCUCUAACGCUUCCUCCUCAUUCUCUGUCUCCUCUAACACCUAGAUCGGCAGGCUCCCUCUCUCUUCACUUUGCCUUUUCCCCAAAAUUAAAAUUACGUAUAAUACUUUUUUUUCUCAGGUUGCAUGGUUGAUUUUGCUGGUUUGGAUGUAUUUGGGUUCAUAUGUUUGCAAGUUGAUUUUGCUGGUUUGAAUGUAUUUGGGAGUAUUUCUCUGCAGUCAAUCUUUCAUGCUUGGUCCCGGUGGCACUUUCUUUUCUGUCUCUUCUUCUUCUCUUUGUUCCGGUUCCGGUUCCGGUACUCGGUUCUUACAGGGGUGGAACCGGAACCGUACAGUAUCGGUUCCAGGUUUUCGGAACCGGAACCGACCCUGUGGCAGACGGUUCCGGGUAGGAACCAGAACCGAAACCCGGGUACCCUUCGGUUCCCGUUCUACCCUAUUUUUUUGUCCACCCCUAAUUCUUGACAAUGAAAAGGCUGUUAUUGGUCUAGUUGGAGCUGCUUUGGCCCUCCAGGUGGUGGGAGUGGGACCUGCCUCAGCCGCUGAAUUGCCGUUGUUGGCCUCAUCUUUGCAACUGAGUGAACCAUCCAAUGCCUUGUCCUUGCCCACCUGGGCCGUGCAUGUCUCCAGUGUUGUUGAAUGGAUUACCGCAAUGGCUUUAGUGUGGCAAUAUGGAGAGAAAUCUGGUUAUGAAGCAUGGAAAGGUCUUUCAUGGGGAAUGGUACCCCUGCUUGGUGGAGCAUUUUGCGCAUGCACAUGGCAUUUCUUUUAUAAUUCUGAGUCUCUUGAGGUAUUGGUGGCUCUUCAAGCUAUGCUUACAGUGAUAGGUAAUGCUACAAUGUGUUAUGCUGCAUUUCGAAUAUACAAAUCGUCAGAGGAACGGUCGUAGAAUCUGUAAAAUUCCUGUAUCAUGAUAUAAUCAUGUGCUUGAAUGCAUAUCCUUCUUGUUUAUCAGACAUAUCCAUAAUGAAGCUUUUGCAGGAAAAAGGGAAAUGGGAUGUUGGAAAUGUCCUUGAUUGAUGACAAAGCCGAUUUUCGUGGGGCUAAAAUCUCAAAAUUGGAGGUAAUUCUUUGCAAAAAAAGUAAUGGAUUGUGAUCAUGUAGUUGUUGAGGAGGAAUUGAUGGAGUCAAAUGCCAUAAUGUGUUAAGCAGUAUCCGAAUGAAGAAUUAUUUUUUCUCUUUUUGAAUAGCUGUAACUUGUCAAGAAACAACUUUAUAUAUGAAUGGUGUUGAUAUAUAACUAUAAGAGACCGUUGUAUAUUUACGGUCUUAUACAGAGUAA
RNA transcript from Pistacia vera, 1474 nucleotides. RefSeq lists it as uncharacterized. Lineage: Eukaryota; Viridiplantae; Streptophyta; Magnoliopsida; Sapindales; Anacardiaceae. The record is from RefSeq and is a predicted model, not a curated record. The transcript is spliced from 6 exons.